CCUACGGGUGGCAGCAGUGGGGAAUAUUGCACAAUGGGGGAAACCCUGAUGCAGCGACGCCGCGUGAGUGAGGAAGUAUCUCGGUAUGUAAAGCUCUAUUAGCAGGGAAGAAAAUGACGGUACCUGACCAGGAAGCCCUGGCUAACUACGUGCCAGCAGCCGUGGUUAUACGUAGGGGGCAGCAGUUAUCCGGAUUUAUGGGGUGUAAAGGGAGUAUAGAGGGUUAAUCAAGUCAGAAGUGAAAACCCAGGGCCCAACCUUGGGACCGCUUUUGAAACUGAGUAGCUAGAGUGCAGGAGAGGUAAGCGGAAUUCCUGGUGUAGCGGUGAAAUGCGUAGAUAUUAGGAGGAACCCCGGUGGCGAAGGCGGCUUGCUGGACUGUAACUGACGUUGAGGCUCGAAAGCGUGGGGAGCGAACAGGAUUAGAUACCCCUGUAGUC
Molecule: ribosomal RNA, 440 nt
Filed under: uncultured bacterium
Lineage: Bacteria
Description: partial 16S ribosomal RNA
Rfam family: Bacterial small subunit ribosomal RNA
Source: RNAcentral